UGGCUCAGAUUGAACGCUGGCGGCAGGCCUAACACAUGCAAGUCGAGCGGUAGCACAGAGAGCUUGCUCUCGGGUGACGAGCGGCGGACGGGUGAGUAAUGUCUGGGAAACUGCCUGAUGGAGGGGGAUAACUACUGGAAACGGUAGCUAAUACCGCAUAACGUCGCAAGACCAAAGUGGGGGACCUUCGGGCCUCAUGCCAUCAGAUGUGCCCAGAUGGGAUUAGCUAGUAGGUGGGGUAACGGCUCACCUAGGCGACGAUCCCUAGCUGGUCUGAGAGGAUGACCAGCCACACUGGAACUGAGACACGGUCCAGACUCCUACGGGAGGCAGCAGUGGGGAAUAUUGCACAAUGGGCGCAAGCCUGAUGCAGCCAUGCCGCGUGUGUGAAGAAGGCCUUCGGGUUGUAAAGCACUUUCAGCGGGGAGGAAGGCGAUAAGGUUAAUAACCUCGUCGAUUGACGUUACCCGCAGAAGAAGCACCGGCUAACUCCGUGCCAGCAGCCGCGGUAAUACGGAGGGUGCAAGCGUUAAUCGGAAUUACUGGGCGUAAAGCGCACGCAGGCGGUCUGUCAAGUCGGAUGUGAAAUCCCCGGGCUCAACCUGGGAACUGCAUUCGAAACUGGCAGGCUAGAGUCUUGUAGAGGGGGGUAGAAUUCCAGGUGUAGCGGUGAAAUGCGUAGAGAUCUGGAGGAAUACCGGUGGCGAAGGCGGCCCCCUGGACAAAGACUGACGCUCAGGUGCGAAAGCGUGGGGAGCAAACAGGAUUAGAUACCCUGGUAGUCCACGCCGUAAACGAUGUCGAUUUGGAGGUUGUGCCCUUGAGGCGUGGCUUCCGGAGCUAACGCGUUAAAUCGAACCGCCUGGGAGUCGCCAAAAUUU
Molecule: ribosomal RNA, 881 nt
Filed under: Klebsiella pneumoniae
Lineage: Bacteria; Pseudomonadati; Pseudomonadota; Gammaproteobacteria; Enterobacterales; Enterobacteriaceae
Description: bacterial SSU rRNA
Rfam family: Bacterial small subunit ribosomal RNA
Source: RNAcentral